ACUGGGCGUAAAGGGCGUGCAGGCGGCCUGGUCAGUGAGAUGUGAAAGCUCCUGGCUCAACCAGGGAACUGCAUCUCAUACUGCCAGGCUUGAGGACGGGAGAGGAGACGGGAAUUCCCGGUGUAGCGGUGAAAUGCACUGAUAUCGGGAGGAACACCAGUGGCGAAGGCGCGUCUCUGGCCCGAUCCUGACGCUCAGGCGCGAAAGCUGGGGGAGCAAACAGGAUUAGAUACCCUGGUAGUCCCAGCUGUAAACGGUGAACACUAGGUGUGGGGGGGCAUCGACCCCUUCCGUGCCGCAGCUAACGCAUUAAGUGUUCCGCCUGGGGAGUACGACCGCAAGGUUGAAACUCAAAGGAAUUGACGGGGGCCCGCACAAGCGGUGGAGCAUGUGGUUUAAUUCGAUGCAACGCGCAGAACCUUACCCAGGCUUGACAUGCACUGGACAGGUGUGGAAACACACCCUCUCUUCGGAGUCGGUGCACAGGUGCUGCAUGGCUGUCGUCAGCUCGUGUCGUGAGAUGUUGGGUUAAGUCCCGCAACGAGCGCAACCCUUGCCCUUAGUUGCCAGCAUUUCGGAUGGGCACUCUAAGGGGACUGCCGGCGAUGAGCCGGAGGAAGGUGGGGAUGACGUCAAGUCCUCAUGGUCCUUAUGUCUGGGGCUACACACGUGCUACAAUGGCCGGUACAGAGAGUCGCGAUGCCGCGAGGUGGAGCUAAUCCCAAAAAGCCGGUCUCAGUUCGGAUUGCAGUCUGCAACUCGACUGCAUGAAGCUGGAAUCGCUAG
This 786-nucleotide ribosomal RNA is filed under the name uncultured bacterium. RNAcentral describes it as "bacterial SSU rRNA". It matches the Rfam family "Bacterial small subunit ribosomal RNA", at positions 553 to 1338 of the family's 1533-position model. The record is from RNAcentral.